Long non-coding RNA from Homo sapiens (human), 2824 nucleotides. The record is from Ensembl. NCBI's taxonomy places the organism in Eukaryota, Metazoa, Chordata, Mammalia, Primates, Hominidae.
GUAAAUGUGCAGCCAUCCCGCGUCCCCGCGCUGCCGCAGCCCCUCACUCGGGGCCCUCAAAGAGCACGCUUAUAAAAACAUUCUUCCCGUGAUGGAGUGCUUCCUUUGGGCUUCUUCGGCUUGUAACAGAUUAAAGGCGAACAGGCAUUUGUCAUGGGGAAGUGUACCCAGUUGUGCUGGAAAAUGGACUUUUCGAUGAGCGUGAGAGCUUGAACCUGUCACAGAGGGGAGAGCCUGUGUUAUUGCAGCCUGCCGGGCCGCGGUGGCCGCUGCGGCUUAUCGGCUGUGGCAGGCAUCACCUACGACUGCAAGGAUCCCAUUACGGAGGCCCUGAAGAGACUGAAUGGGAGAGUGUGACUGCUCCCUGCAAAUCCUCCCCAUGUCUGGACUGAGGAAAUAGCUCGAAGCACCAUCCGUCUCCUGGUGGAGCAGCAGCAGCGUCCAGAGGCUGGGGGCUGAGGCUCCUUGUUUCCAACAAGCUCCUAGGUGAUGGAUGCUGCUGGCAGGUGCACCACACUGAGUUGCAAGACUCGUCCCUCCAGGCACCCCCUUCACAGGUUCAGCAUCCUCGCUGCCAUCUCCUCACAAAUGCGGCCUCUGAAGACAUACCCAUUCCUUUUCUUCUGAGCCCGCAGAAGACAACCCUGCCUAGCUUCUUUGCAGCUACGUGGAGACAUGUGACUAGUUUGGCCAAUGGGAUGUGAGAAGAGAUGAUGAAACUCGGAGGAGAACUUGUGAGAUCGCCGUGACUGCUUUUCCCCUGCCACAGUGGCUAAGAGGAUAAGGCUAUCAAGGGUGGAGCCUCUCUAGGCCUGGGUUCCUGGGUGCCUGUGUGGAGCCGAGACCCCAGGCUAACUCACAAUGAACACGCCGUGUGAGGAAGACGUAAAGCUUUAUGUAUUAAGCCACUGGAGCUUAGGGUUUAAUUUGUUACUGUGGUGUAGCCUACCCUAUUCUAACCAAUACAAGGAUCUUUGGAUGACUCUCCUCCAGGAAUUCAUAUACAAAAACAUCCUCCCUGCAUGAGAACUCCCUAUAUGGUUCCAGCAGUAUCUCUCACCUGCAAUAGUGACUAAAGUCAAGACUCUCUGCUGGCUAUUUCGUUUCUACUGAACUAGGUAUUGUAUUUGCUCUGUUAUUACCUUGCUGCCCUGACAAUCCUACAAUCCACACAGCAGCCAAAGCGAUCUUUUGAAAAGAAUGCAAAAUCAAAUCAGAUCAUGCCAUUCUCUUGCUUAAAGCCGGCCGAUUCACCAUCCCUGCAAACCAUGAUACUCAGAAUCAAAUGCAGAUUCCUUGCUAUGGCUUAAAGACUCUCUGCUUCUCUGACCUCAUCUCCUAUGGUGCUGCAGCUACAUUUGUUCCUACUUCAGUCUUUGUACCUGGCUGUUCCCUCUGCCUGGCUUGCUCUUCUUCCCUCUUGUUAUUUAGAGCUCAGCUUAAAUGUCAACUCAAGGGUAUCUUCCCUGACCAUUGCAACUAAAAUGCCCCUCACUCACACAUGUGUCAUUCCAUUGUACCACUCUGAUUAAUGUCUUUAUAACACUGAUCAACAUCUGAAAGUAUUUUGCUUAAUUAUUUACUUACUCAUUUUUUUCUCCUUUUUCCCCACUAGAAUAUAAAUUUGAGCAGGACAUGGACCUUUUCAAUCUUGCCUACCCUCAUAUCCCAGUAACAAGUGGCUAGCAGAGUACCUGACACAUCAUGGAUGCUCAAAAAAUAUUUCUUGACUAACUGGAUGAAUAAAUGAGUGAAUCAUCAUCAGGAUUGCUGCUCGUGAACCCCUCCUCUUGCAGCUACCUGCCUUUGAAUUUGCCCUCAGGCUUCCUAGCUAGUUUCUUCUUUAGCCUUUCUGACCCAUCGUUCCUUCCGUAGAGUUCAAGACAACACUGCUCCUCCUAUGAACCAAAAGAAAGUGCCAGCGGCUGUUGGUGACGAAGCUCUUCUUUUCUAGGCAAUAAAGCCCCCUCCAGUUGUAGCAGUUUUCUCUGGAAUGGUAAGUCCCUCAGAUCUGGGAGUUAAUUGUUACUGUGGCAGAGGCCAGGCCACCCUGACUGAUAGAAGACCUUUUGGGAGAUUCUUCUUUCCCUGGAUGAGGUUGUACCCUGUUUAUGUUGGAUAAACAACUCAAAACCAGUAGCAUAGAAUGUUAGUGCCAGAGGGGAACUGAGAGACUAACAUGUUUUCCUUUUGCAAAUGAGGAAACUGAGGCAGAGAGAAGGGAGGGAAAUUGAUUAAGGCCUUUGGCUUAUUGGUUCAUUCCUUUGAUCGCUGUGAUGGAUGUUUCCCUGUCUUUUUAACCCCCCUGGCUUGUGUACCCUGUUCCAAGGAAUUCUCCAACUCAUGACUCUCCAACUUAUGAUGGGAAACAGAGCCCACCUCCCACUCAAGAAAAAAACAAUGCUUGCAGCACUAUUCUCAAUUGCAAAGACAUGGAAUCAACCCAAAUGCCCAUCAGUGAUAGACUGGAUAAAGAAAAUGUGGUACAUAUACACCAUGGAAUAAUAUGCAGUCAUAAAAAGGAGGAAUGGGAUCACGUCCUUUACAGGGACAUGGAUGAAGCUGGAAGCCAUUAUCCUCAGCAAACUAAUGCAGGAACAGAAAACCAAACAUCACACGUUCUCACUUAUAAGUCGGAGCUGAACAAUGAGAACACAUGGACACAGGGAGGAGAUCAACACACUCUGGGGUCUGUUGGGGGACGGGAAGAAAGCAUCAGGAAAGAUAGCUAAUGCAUGCUAUGCUUAUUACCUAGGUGAUGGGUUGAUAGGUGCAGCAAACCACCAUGGCACACGUUUACCUAUGUAACAAACCUGUGUGUCCU